CUUAGUGCUUAAUCUGGAAUCUAGAGGGCCACAUGAAAAGCUAUAGUGGGCCAGUUUUGGCCCAUGGACCUUGAGUUUGACACGUGUAUAAUAGAUGUUUAACCAGUUUAUUUCUACUUAGACAUCUGUAAGGUGAAUACAGAUUUGAGCAUGUGGAGGAAGGAAAAGCCAGUUCUCACGAUCAACACCAAGCACUUUAUUGUCAUAUCCCUUUUAGCUCUGGACUUCUGCCUUAGUUGUUUAUUUUCUUAAUUUCACUAUUUCCUCCAGUAUGAUUUAUUCCUUCUGCUAGUUUAGUUUCUGUUUUUAAGUGUUGGAUGUUUCCUCUGCUGUUACCUCCCUUCUAGUCUCAUCUUUGUUUUUGCCUUAAGCCACUUUGCCACUAACUCCUCUUCCCCAGCUGCCAGUCAUUCACCGCAUCCAGCCUCACUCGCUUUGUUCCCAGCUGCAGUCAGUUUUCCUGCUUAGUUCCUUCACUCCUUCCUCUUUGUAUCUACCUCACAGACUCAUUGCUCACCGCUCGUUCAGUCUGUUUCUCCCCGUCUCAUGUUCUAGAGGACCAGGGUUGUGAACCGCUGCUCUAUCCUUGUUUGACUCUUGUCUCCACAUGUGUGAGCUCAGCCAGCAGGAGAUAGAGAUGAUGGCACCAUUCAGUCAUAUGGUGACAAAGACUGGGGUGCAGCUGAUGGCCAGAAAACCAUUGGGCAACUUUUUGGCAUCUUAAGAGAGCUAGAAACCAAACUUGAAGACACUCAGAGAGAGAUGGAGGUCCUGAAGUCACAAGUUCAAGGCAACAAGGUAGCAUUUGGUGCAUCCAUAAGCGUCGGUGACAAUGUAGGACCUUUUAAUACCCACACCACACUGGUCUAUAAAAAGGUCUAUGUAAAUACAGGAUCAUUCAACGUGGGAACAGGUAUUUUUACGGCUCCUGUCACAGGAGUCUAUUAUUUCAGCUUCUCUGGACAUAAUCAUUCAUCUAAACCAAUGGGCCUGCAACUGAUGAAGAAUGGACAGCAGAUGGUCACUGUCUAUAAUCAUGUUGCUGGGAACCGUCAUGAGACAGCAACCAAUGGGAUGACUCUGCAGCUUGAAGUUGGAGACCAAGUUUACAUGAGACUGAUGCAAAACACCUGGAUUAUUGACAAUUCGAAUGAUCAUAGCACAUUUAUUGGCCAUUUAUUAUUCCCUCUGUAAAAGUUGUGAACAAGUAACACCUUUGUAUAAAAUCUAAAUGGAUGAAAGUGAAGACAAAAAAAUUGCUUCAUUUCAGUUGUAAUGUUUAGUAAAAAUACGUCUUGUUCAAGGCAUAUUUUAGAACAAAAUUAGAAUCUGCAUAUUGUGUCUUAAAUGUGAGAAACGAUGUUCAAGUAAAUUCAAAAUCAUAUUUGACCUAGUAAGUUAUUGGUAAUUAUAAAAUUUUUUAA
RNA transcript from Poecilia latipinna (sailfin molly), 1424 nucleotides. It is a transcript of the gene named cerebellin-4-like, with no coding region annotated. NCBI's taxonomy places the organism in Eukaryota, Metazoa, Chordata, Actinopteri, Cyprinodontiformes, Poeciliidae. The record is from RefSeq and is a predicted model, not a curated record. The transcript has 4 exons.